UUAAUUGAAGCCAAAAAGAGGCAUCUUAAUGUUAAUAAGAAUAAUGAUUUAUAAUAUCCAAUUAAA
This 66-nucleotide transfer RNA is filed under the name Japananus hyalinus. RNAcentral's name for it is "tRNA-Asn". Lineage: Eukaryota; Metazoa; Arthropoda; Insecta; Hemiptera; Cicadellidae. The record is from RNAcentral.